Melanotaenia boesemani (Boeseman's rainbowfish) is the source of this 344-nucleotide long non-coding RNA. RefSeq lists it as uncharacterized. The transcript has 3 exons. NCBI's taxonomy places the organism in Eukaryota, Metazoa, Chordata, Actinopteri, Atheriniformes, Melanotaeniidae. The record is from RefSeq and is a predicted model, not a curated record.
CUACAAGCUAAUGCGUGGUCAUCUGAAUGCAAGAGGUGUCCGUGUUCCAAUCUCAAGAGUGCAAGAAUCUUUACGGCGAGUCGCUGCAGAGGGAGUCUACAUGAGACGUCUAAGACUGCGUGUAUUAAGACGACGGCAGUAUUCUGUUCCUGGCCCAAACUCUUUGUGGCAUAUAGAUGGCAACCAUAAGCUCAUCAGAUGGAGAUUUGUUGUCCAUGGUGGGGUGGAUGGAUUCAGUCGUUUGGUGGUCUACCUGACAGUCGCUAGCAAUAAUAGAGCUCAUACAGUCUUACAGAGCUUUAUUACUGCUGUUGAGCAGUACAGGCUGCCAUCAAGGGUACGGU